Molecule: long non-coding RNA, 5454 nt
Organism: Acipenser ruthenus (sterlet)
Lineage: Eukaryota; Metazoa; Chordata; Actinopteri; Acipenseriformes; Acipenseridae
Exons: 5
Source: RefSeq, a predicted model, not a curated record
CCUGACACCCCCUGGCUGUGCUAGCUGGAGCGAUGCUGGUUGGAAUGUCACUGGAAUUAUGAACAGGCUGCCGGGAGUGCUAAAGAAGUGAGACUAGCAUGACAAUAAAAACUGCAAGUCUGUGAGCUGCACAUCCUCCUUUCAGCAGAAAAAGGUCGUUUUAAAUCUGUCAGCUCUGCAGAGGAAGCCAACACAUUUCAUAGCACCUUGAAUCUCUAAAGGAAGUAGCUAUGGACCCCAAGUGCCAGUCAUCUUCCCCUCAGAAACAAACAGUGAAGAAUCGAUCCAAAUCCACUGAUGAGGUCCAGCAAGCGAAGAAGGCUUUCCACACACCACAGAAGUCCCUGCCGGGCAAAACGGAACUGGAGAAACUGAAGGAGACCAGUGAAGUCUUGGAGACAUCGUCUUCAACUGAGGAAUUAACUGGAGCAGAAGAGAACUGAAAGACCACAAGCAACUGGCUUGGCUACUUUUUCCCCUCAAUGGGUUCAUUAUUUUUUCCAGAAACCAAGGAAUCUUUGCAAACUUAUUUCUCUCUUAAUCCAGUCAAAAUGGACCAGGGUACCAUAUUGCGGGUGUGGUAGUAGGGCUUUGCCUUUUUCAUUCUUGCUAUCAUAUUACAAACGCUGAUGUAAUGCCAUUGCAAUGCCAGUUCACCUGUACUGAAUGUACAUUAACAGUAAAAUGACUUGGCAUUGUUCAUGUGAAGUCUUGCCAUGAGUUGGCAUGAGUGCUUGAAUGGGUGACAUCUUACUAGCCAAGUCUUAUUCUGUGUUGUUGAAUGGAUUUUUCAAACCCUUAAAUAUGUUGUCUGUACCUUUUUAUUGCUGCCCUUAUCAUUUUAGUCAUUUGGAAGUCUUGGAAGAUAAAACAUGGGCAUAGCUCCAUUUUGCUCUGAAAUACCGUAUUCCUUUGAAUUAAAGAUGCACUUUUUAAACAAUUUUUUCUUCUAAAAAAUGGCCUGCGUCUUAAAUUCGAGUAUAGUGAUGCAUGUAUUAAAAUCGCCAACAAAAGACAUGAUUACCCAAGUACACAAACAGCAACAUGACUUACUGCCGAGAAAAGAUGAACACAAAUGUUAUUGCCUGAUCUCGAAUCAUCCAUGACAUACAGGCAGCCAUUUUCAAAGAAGCAUCAUUUAGCUUCCUGAGGAAUUCGAAGAGAAGCUUUUACAAUUUCAGCGUUUUGUUAUUAGGCUCCAUUCUAACAAACAGUACCAGCUUUGACAGAUCAGAAAUGCUGAUCAGACCCCCGUAUUUUUCGACAUGCCAAGCAAUAGCAGUUCACAAAAAGGGAGAAAAACAGGUGUGAGUAAUCACGACUGGAAAUGAGAAGCAGCACAUAACUGUAAUGCUCUGUGUGAUAGCAGACGGCCGCAGACUGCCUCCAUAUGCGUAAUUGAGGUUGUACCUUUGUAAAUGCAUAUUUUUUAGGGCUGCUCCAAUUAACAGAUUAUUCAGACCGAUUAAUCAACUAAAUAGUUGAUCGCAGAUUAAUUUAUGUUACAAUUUAAUUGGGCAGUUUUUUUUUUGGCUGGGCAUUUUGAACUCCAUUUCCCAACACACCCAGCUGAGAAAGAAUGCGAGUGAGAAGGCUUCCCGUGGCAGUUCGUGUCUGUUUUUUUGUUGCUACACACACACACACAAGAGUAAAUGUAUUUUACUAGUGUCACAAGCUGCGACUAUAACGUUUUGUUUUAUUGAUGUUAGUACUGUUAAUAUUACAUUACUGUUCAAGUUGUUCAUGUAUAUCGAUUUUUACUAGUUUAUAUUGUGGAACAUGGGUAGUAGAGUUGUUUUAACUGAUGUUUACCUGUUUCAUGGUCCUGAAUUAUUUUAUUUCUUUUGUCCGGAAGCCCUAAAUAUAAUGUAAAAAAUUAGUAAAAUAAAGAUGUUCAUAAGGAGGCAUAAGUGUUAUAUAUGGUAUGGUUGCAUCAAAGACAAACAAAAUAAGCCCAUUCUCAGUUCUUGUGCAUUAUAUUUUGCUAUUAAACUCUUUCAUGGAUUGACGUUGUUCUGUGAAAAUGUGUUACAUUUACUGAAAUAAAAACGCUUUUAAAAUGACCAAAUUCCCAUUGGGCUUAUGUUAUUUUAGAUUCUAUUGAUUUUUUUAUGUAUUAAUAUGCAGGACAGCCACUAUAAGAUUGUUACCUUUUUAAUCAAGUGACAGCCCUAAUAUUUAUUUGAUGAUUUAUUUUUUCCUCAGAUUGAGGGUGGGAAAUUUGGGCUGCCUCUUAAAUUCGAGGGUGUCUUAAAUUCGAAGGAAUACGGUAAAUAAAUGACACCUGGUGACAACACCUGCAGGAUUACGUUGAAGUUGAAGAGUAGUGUUAUUUAGAUCUGUAAUUGAUUAGAUCAUGAAAAUGGACCAACUAUCUAACCCAGAGAACGAGAGAGAGGGCUGCUCUGUAGGGUUGUAGCUACAGAAAUGUUUCAAAGCGAAGGUAAACUAAACGAGAAUGGGUCAGUACAAGCUGUACUGGUAGAGGCAGUUUGGAAGAUGGGUGUUUAAAGCCUUGCUUACUUUUAUUUGGUGUACCAUUGUGCUCUAAUGUAGAACAAAGUCCAACUGUAUGAACUAGUUUGAAGUUGCCAUUAUUUACAGUACCUUUUAAAACCAGUUUACUAUGCCAAUUCAAAACACAUCCUUGCAUCUGAGCAACUGUACAUGCCUUGUAUGUGGAAUAUGUGUUUAAAAUGUGGAUAUUUUCUCAUGACUAAAACAUGCUUGUUCAAUAUAUAUAUAUAUAUAUAUAUAUAUAUUGUGACAAAGCACAACUCACUCGGGUUCGUUGCCCCUUUAAAAAUAGACCCAGCAGACAGAAAUUGAGUUUUCAGCGCGGUUGCGCUAUUUUUAAUAAGCACAAAAAUAAACAAACACAAAACAACACCUAGCUCCUUCGGAGCGCUAACUAAACCUCAGGAACACCCUGACUAUAAAGUGGGACGGCUAAGCCGUUUCCCCACAACACAAAGCAAAAACACACAGUAUUUUUACAAAACCCUUACUUUUUCCAGUGGCUGCUUGGACACAGAACACUCUACCUGUCUCCUUCUAGACAGCAGCCCUGUGCAGACUGACUGCACCUCUUAUAUACCCUGCACCUGGUCCUAAUUUACAAUCACUACCAGGUGCAGGGGAUCAUUAACAAUAAACCAAUUAACAAAUUAAAUUAAACAAUUAACGAAACUAAAGGUUUUUCCCUCUGGGAGAUGUAGUCCCAUUCCCCCAGGACUACACUACCUUACACUUCCUCCCCCUUGUCUUUACAAGACACCGGCCAUUUAACGGCCAUCUCCCCCCCCCCCACCCUUAAAAGCCCACCCACCCUCAAGUCCCAAGUCUUUGGUUUUCAGCCUCUUCCACAGGCGUGCUUGAGGGUGGGUCGGUCCUUCCUCCGGCACACUCAGGAAGGGACCACGCACCAGCCAGAAGGGACCAGGACGGCUUGUCCUGGGUGACCGAAACGCAGGCCUUUGACCGGGAGUGAGCUGUGACAGGCAGAAGUGGGUCGCUCGGGACCGGCGCAGCGACGUCUGGGACCCUGAGGGGAACAAAGUGGAAGGAAGGGGGAGCGCACGCGACGUCUGACGCCCACGGCGUGACGUCUCAGGUUCCGGGAGGAGCGGAGCUGGGGACCGUGCACACAGUUGUGCCUGGCAGUGCUGCGACCUGGGCAUAAGGUCGAGUGGAGGGAGGUCGGGGCAUUCCGGACUGGUGUCCAUGUAGCUGGAGCACGGGACCGCACUUGAAAGUGGCGGAGUGUCUCCCUCGGCCUGUUGCUGAGGCUCUGUUGGAGGUGGGUUGCUCACCUCCUCCCCCUUGACUGCAUCCGGUGGUUCCUGUGACAGCUCCACCCCCUCUGGCUCUCGGGAUGGUAGCUCCACCCCCUCUAGGGCUGCAGCCAGCGGUGCCUCUCUUGCCUGCUCCCACUUUUGGAGCAGCAGCACCAGCCUAUUUGGCUCCGGAUCCGGCAGUCCCAGCUCCAGUCUCCACCUUUCGGUCUGUUCCUUUUGAGCAGCGGUAUUCUGGUUGAUCCUUGCAACCAACUCCUCAAUGGUUUCCAUUCCUAGGGUCGUAGGGGCGCCCACACUUUCUGACACCACGUUGUAAUAAAGCUGCAACUCACUCGGUUCUAGCCCCUUUACAAAUUGACCCAGCAGACAGAAAUUGAGUUUUCAGCGCGGUUGCGCUAUUUUUAAUAAGCACAAAAAUAAACAAACACAAAACAACACCUAGCUCCUUCGGAGCGCUAACUAAACCUCAGGAACACCCUGACUAUAAAGUGGGACGGCUAAGCCGUUUCCCCACAACACAAAGCAAAAACACACAGUAUUUUUACAAAACCCUUACUUUUUCCAGUGGCUGCUUGGACACAGAACACUCUACCUGUCUCCUUCUAGACAGCGGCCCUGUGCAGACUGACUGCACCUCUUAUAUACCCUGCACCUGGUCCUAAUUUACAAUCACUACCAGGUGCAGGGGAUCAUUAACAAUAAACCAAUUAACAAAUUAAAUUAAACAAUUAACCAAACUAAAGGUUUUUCCCUCUGGGAGAUGUAGUCCCAUUCCCCCAGGACUACACUACCUUACAAUAUAUAUAUAUAUAUAUAUAUAUAUAUAUAUAUAUAUAUAUAUAUAUAUAUAUAUAUAUAUAUAGACGGCUAUGGUCAAAAGUUUUGUAUUACCUAGAAUUUUAGGAUAGAGAAAUAAUUUAAAAAAAUAAAUAAAGAAAAACUAUAUGAACAUAAUUUAGAUAUUUUAUCAUGUAAUCAAAGAAACUACUAAAUGAUAUUGCAAAAGUCUACCAGAAGCCAUAAUAGUAGUACAGUAUUUCAUGUUAGAUUUUGAAAUGUCGUAUUUUUCGUUAAGUAUAUGGAAAACUACAAAGCGGUGUGUAAUUCAGUAUGUUAACGUAACAUUAUUCAGCAGGUUUCAUCUGACUUUAUGAAGCUAAAUUUGUGAAUUCUAUAGGGUGAUGUUAAACGUUUGGCCACAGGUGUAUAUAUUUUGCUUCUGCUUUGUUAAAUGAAAACAUGUAUUACAUUACUUUUCCUUUUUCACUUUACAGUAUUGGUUUAAUUGCAGCAUGUUGCAGUAUUGGUGUUUUAUUAAUUCUAUUUCCAGGCAGCGUUGUUUUAAUAUCUGAAGUUCAGCCAAUCCAUCCAAAGCGUAGCUCUCUUAAUUCUGUGAUGUCAGUGUAUAUGGUUUAUUGCUGUGUGCUGUGUGGAUUAUUUUUGUAAAACUAUCAAUUAAACGUAUUAUGAAGCAACAUGCUCUGCUUUUUAUUGGGAAUGGAAUAGUGUUUCUUUUUAAGUGGUUGUUAUUACUUACACCAUUUUCACAGAAUACCGACAAUACACAAUUACUCGGUGUGACUGAAAUGACUGUCUUGCCUUCAACUGCCCUGCUAACAAUUGCUUUGUAAUCUGCAGGGGUUAAAAGGAUUGCUGC